CAGCAAAGUCUGUGGCCUGAAAAAUAAGUCCACUUGAUCAACUGCUUGUUGAUCACCUAAAUAAGUACUCUUAAUUACAUGGUCAUGGCCCUUUCAAAUUGCCACCCAGAUAUACUACAAAGCUGACAUUCCAUUCAAUGUAUGUUUUAUUUUGAAGUGUUAAGGCUUCUGAAAGAAAUACUAUGCCUUCAUACAAUACCUGGGCUAACAUUUUCUGUUGUACUUAUGCUUAUAGUCAUGUUCACUUCUUCUCUAUGGUUCUCAGUAUGGAUUCACUUUUACAUGGUGCAGCACAGUCACCAAGAUGCACAGAUGGGUCUUGAAUCAGCUGGUCGCUUCCUGCCCCGCCCCCCUCCACCAUGCUGCUCUCAAUGUAGCUGCUAG
This 384-nucleotide long non-coding RNA is filed under the name Crocodylus porosus (Australian saltwater crocodile). RNAcentral's name for it is "lncRNA (ENSCPRG00005009910.1)". The record is from RNAcentral. Lineage: Eukaryota; Metazoa; Chordata; Crocodylia; Crocodylidae.